GAUGAAGAACGCAGCGAAAUGCGAUAACUAAUGUGAAUUGCAGAAUUCAGUGAAUCAUCGAGUCUUUGAACGCACAUUGCGCCCCCUGGUAUUCCGGGGGGCAUGCCUGUCCGAGCGUCAUUGCUGCCCUCAAGCACGGCUUGUGUGUUGGGCUCCGUCCCCCCGGGGACGGGCCCGAAAGGCAGCGGCGGCACCGAGUCCGGUCCUCGAGCGUAUGGGGCUUUGUCACCCGCUCUGUAGGCCCGGCCGGCGCCAGCCGACAACCCAUCAUCCUUUUCAGGUUGACCUCGGAUCAGGUAGGGAUACCCGUUGAACUUAAGCAUAUCAAUAAGCGGAGGA
RNAcentral lists this unclassified non-coding RNA (339 nucleotides) under soil metagenome. Its description in RNAcentral is "partial contains 5.8S ribosomal RNA, internal transcribed spacer 2, and large subunit ribosomal RNA". The stretch from base 1 to 120 matches the Rfam family "5.8S ribosomal RNA", at positions 35 to 154 of the family's 154-position model. The record is from RNAcentral.